This 497-nucleotide ribosomal RNA is filed under the name uncultured bacterium. RNAcentral's name for it is "partial 16S ribosomal RNA". It matches the Rfam family "Bacterial small subunit ribosomal RNA", at positions 28 to 507 of the family's 1533-position model. The record is from RNAcentral.
GAUGAACGCUGGCGGCGUGCCUAAUACAUGCAAGUCGAGCGAACGGACGAGAAGCUUGCUUCUCUGAUGUUAGCGGCGGACGGGUGAGUAACACGUGGAUAACCUACCUAUAAGACUGGGAUAACUUCGGGAAACCGUAGCUAAUACCGGAUAAUAUUUUGAACCGCAUGGUUCAAAAGUGAAAGACGGUCUUGCUGUCACUUAUAGAUGGAUCCGCGCUGCAUUAGCUAGUUGGUAAGGUAACGGCUUACCAAGGCAACGAUGCAUAGCCGACCUGAGAGGGUGAUCGGCCACACGGGAACUGAGACACGGUCCAGACUCCUACGGGAGGCAGCAGUAGGGAAUCGUCCGCAAUGGGCGAAAGCCUGACGGAGCAACGACGCGUGAGUGAUGAAGGUCUUCGGAUCGUAAAACUCUGUUAUUAGGGAAGAACAUAUGUGUAAGUAACUGUGCACAUCUUGACGGUACCUAAUCAGAAAGCCACGGCUAACUACGUG